UUUUAUGGAGAGUUUGAUCCUGGCUCAGGAUGAACGCUGGCGGCGUGCCUAAUACAUGCAAGUCGAGCGAACGGACGAGAAGCUUGCUUCUCUGAUGUUAGCGGCGGACGGGUGAGUAACACGUGGAUAACCUACCUAUAAGACUGGGAUAACUUCGGGAAACCGGAGCUAAUACCGGAUAAUAUUU
This 187-nucleotide ribosomal RNA is filed under the name Staphylococcus aureus. RNAcentral's name for it is "partial 16S ribosomal RNA". It matches the Rfam family "Bacterial small subunit ribosomal RNA", at positions 1 to 181 of the family's 1533-position model. The record is from RNAcentral. Lineage: Bacteria; Bacillati; Bacillota; Bacilli; Caryophanales; Staphylococcaceae. RNAcentral also lists the same sequence under 1 other name.